RNAcentral lists this ribosomal RNA (726 nucleotides) under Salmonella enterica. RNAcentral describes it as "partial 23S ribosomal RNA". It matches the Rfam family "Bacterial large subunit ribosomal RNA", at positions 711 to 1352 of the family's 2925-position model. Lineage: Bacteria; Pseudomonadati; Pseudomonadota; Gammaproteobacteria; Enterobacterales; Enterobacteriaceae. The record is from RNAcentral.
AGACCCGAAACCCGGUGAUCUAGCCAUGGGCAGGUUGAAGGUUGGGUAACACUAACUGGAGGACCGAACCGACUAAUGUUGAAAAAUUAGCGGAUGACCUGUGGCUGGGGGUGAAAGGCCAAUCAAACCGGGAGAUAGCUGGUUCUCCCCGAAAGCUAUUUAGGUAGCGCCUCGUGAAUUCAUCUCCGGGGGUAGAGCACUGUUUCGGCUAGGGGGCCAUCCCGGCUUACCAACCCGAUGCAAACUGCGAAUACCGGAGAAUGUUAUCACGGGAGACACACGGCGGGUGCUAACGUCCGUCGUGAAGAGGGAAACAACCCAGACCGCCAGCUAAGGUCCCAAAGUCAUGGUUAAGUGGGAAACGAUGUGGGAAGGCCCAGACAGCCAGGAUGUUGGCUUAGAAGCAGCCAUCAUUUAAAGAAAGCGUAAUAGCUCACUGGUCGAGUCGGCCUGCGCGGAAGAUGUAACGGGGCUAAACCAUGCACCGAAGCUGCGGCAGCGAACGUAUCACUUAAAGCGAUUCAGCGGAUGACGAUUGACGGAGCGAAGCGACGUCAAAGCGUAUACAAAGUCGAGUCGGUUUAAGGAUACGUUCGUUGGGUAGGGGAGCGUUCUGUAAGCCUGCGAAGGUGGCCUGUGAGGGUUGCUGGAGGUAUCAGAAGUGCGAAUGCUGACAUAAGUAACGAUAAAGCGGGUGAAAAGCCCGCUCGCCGGAAGACCAAGGGU